CGACGCCGCCCAUCGCCAGAUCAUGUUGAGUGUUGAGAACAAUACGGAAAAUAAAGGUUAUCUUCCUUAGAAACAAUUAUUGUACAUAGGACAUCGGGAUAUUUUUGUUCUGGGUCCGCCCUGCCAGCAGCUGCCUCUGGGACGGAGAGGUAGGCAAGUGGGAAGGUCGGGGACACCAAGGAGGCGGCCGAGCAGGGGCGCUAGACAAGGUUGGGCAGACAAGGACAUGGUAAAGAAGGUGG
This is a long non-coding RNA of Lolium rigidum, 242 nucleotides long. RefSeq lists it as uncharacterized. The record is from RefSeq and is a predicted model, not a curated record. NCBI's taxonomy places the organism in Eukaryota, Viridiplantae, Streptophyta, Magnoliopsida, Poales, Poaceae. The transcript is spliced from 3 exons.